This 373-nucleotide ribosomal RNA is filed under the name uncultured Flavobacteriia bacterium. Its description in RNAcentral is "bacterial SSU rRNA". It matches the Rfam family "Bacterial small subunit ribosomal RNA", at positions 521 to 896 of the family's 1533-position model. The record is from RNAcentral. Lineage: Bacteria; Pseudomonadati; Bacteroidota; Flavobacteriia.
UAAUACGGAGGGUCCAAGCGUUAUCCGGAUUCAUUGGGUUUAAAGGGUCCGUAGGCGGGUUUUUAAGUCAGUGGUGAAAUCCUACAGCUCAACUGUAGAACUGCCAUUGAUACUGGAAACCUUGAGUGUGAUUGAAGUGGGCGGAAUGUGUCAUGUAGCGGUGAAAUGCAUAGAUAUGACACAGAACACCGAUUGCGAAGGCAGCUCACUAAGUCACAACUGACGCUGAGGGACGAAAGCGUGGGUAGCGAACAGGAUUAGAUACCCUGGUAGUCCACGCUGUAAACGAUCAUCACUCGCUGUUGGCGAUACACAGUCAGCGGCCAAGCGAAAGCAUUAAGUGAUGCACCUGGGGAGUACGGUCGCAAGAUUG